Molecule: unclassified non-coding RNA, 329 nt
Filed under: soil metagenome
Description: partial contains 5.8S ribosomal RNA, internal transcribed spacer 2, and large subunit ribosomal RNA
Rfam family: 5.8S ribosomal RNA (bases 1-120)
Source: RNAcentral
GAUGAAGAACGUAGCGAAAUGCGAUAAGUAGUGUGAAUUGCAGAAUUUAGUGAAUCAUCGAAUCUUUGAACGCACAUUGCGCCCCUUGGUAUCCCGAGGGGCAUGCCUGUUCGAGCGUCAUUUCACCACUCAAGCCUGGCUUGGUGUUGGGCGACGUCCCCUUUGGGGACGCGCCUCGAAACGCUCGGCGGCGUGGCACCGGCUUUAAGCGUAGCAGAAUCUUUCGCUUUGGAAGUCGGGGCCCCGUCUGCCGGAAGACCUACUCGCAAGGUUGACCUCGGAUCAGGCAGGGAUACCCGCUGAACUUAAGCAUAUCAAUAAGCGGAGGA